Molecule: ribosomal RNA, 443 nt
Filed under: uncultured bacterium
Lineage: Bacteria
Description: partial 16S ribosomal RNA
Rfam family: Bacterial small subunit ribosomal RNA
Source: RNAcentral
CCUACGGGUGGCAGCAGUGGGGAAUAUUGGGCAAUGGGCGCAAGCCUGACCCAGCAACGCCGCGUGAAGGAAGAAGGCUUUCGGGUUGUAAACUUCUUUUAUCAGGGACGAAGCAAGUGACGGUACCUGAUGAAUAAGCCACGGCUAACUACGUGCCAGCAGCCGCGGUAAUACGUAGGUGGCAAGCGUUAUCCGGAUUUAUUGGGUUUAAAGGGAGCGUAGAUGGGUUGUUAAGUCAGUUGUGAAAGUUCGCGGCUCAACCGCGGAACUGCAUUUGAAACUGUUUUUCUUGAGUACCGGAGAGGUCAUCGGAAUUCCUUGUGUAGCGGUGAAAUGCGUAGAUAUAAGGAAGAACACCAGUGGCGAAGGUGGAUGACUGGACGGCAACUGACGGUGAGGCGCGAAAGCGUGGGGAGCAAACAGGAUUAGAUACCCCAGUAGUC